UACAGAGGGUGCGAGCGUUAAUCGGAUUUACUGGGCGUAAAGCGUACGUAGGCGGCUUUUUAAGUCGGAUGUGAAAUCCCUGAGCUUAACUUAGGAAUUGCAUUCGAUACUGGGGAGACUAGAGUAUGGGAGAGGAUGGUAGAAUUCCAGGUGUAGCGGUGAAAUGCGUAGAGAUCUGGAGGAAUACCGAUGGCGAAGGCAGCCAUCUGGCCUAAUACUGACGCUGAGGUACGAAAGCAUGGGGAGCAAACAGG
This 254-nucleotide ribosomal RNA is filed under the name uncultured Acinetobacter sp. RNAcentral describes it as "partial 16S ribosomal RNA". It matches the Rfam family "Bacterial small subunit ribosomal RNA", at positions 524 to 776 of the family's 1533-position model. The record is from RNAcentral. Lineage: Bacteria; Pseudomonadati; Pseudomonadota; Gammaproteobacteria; Moraxellales; Moraxellaceae.